This 381-nucleotide transfer-messenger RNA is filed under the name Bacilli. Its description in RNAcentral is "UBA3789 sp902797265 Standard tmRNA". It matches the Rfam family "transfer-messenger RNA". From Rfam's summary of the family: Bacterial tmRNA, also known as 10Sa RNA or SsrA, is named for its dual tRNA and mRNA-like properties. Lineage: Bacteria; Bacillati; Bacillota. RNAcentral also lists the same sequence under 1 other name. The record is from RNAcentral.
GGGGCUGAUUUGGUUUCGACGGGAAUGGGAGAGCAUAGAUGGCAAGUCGAAUGUCCACGUUACGGGCACAAAAAAAUAAAUGCUGAAAAAGUAAAAAAUGCUAUUGCUAAUAUGUUUGGUGGAAACCAAGCUGUUAGCUAUGCCAUAUAAUUUAGAAAAGGCUAGCGCUUCUUAAUUAUUUUUACCUAGAGAUUUUUAAGAGGUUCAUUUUUAUAGGUUAUAGCUAUUUAUUGUUCGGUAAAUAGAAAGAAUUUAGAACUAGUAUAAUUUCUUGGUCGUUAACUACUUGGAAAUUAUAUGAUAAUAAUUAGUUAACUAAGCUUGUAGAAGUUUAUGUAGCUCUAUUUUCGGACAGGAGUUCGAUUCUCCUCAGUUCCACCA